Molecule: ribosomal RNA, 544 nt
Filed under: uncultured bacterium
Lineage: Bacteria
Description: bacterial SSU rRNA
Rfam family: Bacterial small subunit ribosomal RNA
Source: RNAcentral
GGAAUUUUCCGCAAUGGGCGAAAGCCUGACGGAGCAACGCCGCGUGCGGGAGGAAGGUUUUAGGACUGUAAACCGCUUUUCUCAGGGAAGAAGCUCUGACGGUACCUGAGGAAUAAGCAUCGGCUAAUUCCGUGCCAGCAGCCGCGGUAAUACGGGAGAUGCAAGCGUUAUCCGGAAUUAUUGGGCGUAAAGCGUUCGUAGGCGGUUCAACAAGUCCGCUGUCAAAUCCCGCAGCUUAACUGCGGACAGGCAGUUGAAACUGUUAAGCUAGAGUGUGGUAGGGGUAAGGGGAAUUCCCAGUGUAGCGGUGAAAUGCGUAGAUAUUGGGAAGAACACCAGCGGCGAAAGCGCCUUACUGGGCCACAACUGACGCUGAGGGACGAAAGCUAGGGGAGCGAAAGGGAUUAGAUACCCCUGUAGUCCUAGCCGUAAACGAUGGACACUAGGUGUUGUCUGUAUCGACCCGGACAGUGCCGUAGCCAACGCGUUAAGUGUCCCGCCUGGGGAGUACGCACGCAAGUGUGAAACUCAAAGGAAUUGACGG